CGAGUGUUGGGGGAAAGUUAUGGGAGGGUUGUACGCAUUUGUACAUUCUAGUCAUCGUGAAUCAGCACGGCAUUGCACUAGAGAUCGUAUUCCCUGAUUCGACGAUUUAUGUGUACAACCCCAAUCAUUCAUAUUUGACACAGGGACAACUCGAGCAGAACUUAGAGCUGGUGACUGUGAUUGUUCCCUUGAUGGCUAGACAUGCAGGCUUGACUAUAGAAGAAAAACUAGUCAUCGUGCGGGACAGUCGAUCAAAUAGCCGGCCAAACAGUCGACAUGACCGUGGACUUGUUGCGCGAUCGAGUUGAGAGAUAUUUACAAUCAUUCCACAAGCUUGGCCGCAUAAUACUGAACAUUGAGUUCUUCCGUGUUGUUACCAUUGAGUAUCAGUCGCUCCAGCUUCUAGGUAACGAAUAUGUGCUUCCCGCGUGUAUGCUCGAGUGGGUCAUCGGGCUGUCACCGAGUGUUGGGGGAAAGCCAUAGGAGGGUUGUACGCAUUUGUACAUUUCAGUGAUCGUAAAUCAACAUUGCAUUGCACUGGAGAUCAUGUUCCUUAAUUCGACGAUAUAUGUGUACAAUCCUGAUCAUUC
This 590-nucleotide long non-coding RNA is filed under the name Olea europaea subsp. europaea. Lineage: Eukaryota; Viridiplantae; Streptophyta; Magnoliopsida; Lamiales; Oleaceae. The record is from RNAcentral.